GGGGAAUAUUGCACAAUGGGGGAAACCCUGAUGCAGCGACGCCGCGUGAGCGAUGAAGCCCUUCGGGGUGUAAAGCUCUUUCGGCAGGAACGAUAAUGACGGUACCUGCAGAAGAAGCUGCGGCUAACUACGUGCCAGCAGCCGCGGUAAUACGUAGGCAGCAAGCGUUGUUCGGAAUUACUGGGCGUAAAGAGUGUGUAGGUGGUGUCGUAAGUUUGGUGUGAAAUCUCCCGGCUUAACUGGGAGGGUGCGCCGAAGACUGAGAUGCUCGAGUAUGGGAGAGGAAAGCGGAAUUCCUGGUGUAGCGGUGAAAUGCGUAGAUAUCAGGAGGAACACCUGCGGUGUAGACGGCUUUCUGGACCAUUACUGACACUGAGACACGAAAGCGUGGGUAGCAAAC
Molecule: ribosomal RNA, 400 nt
Filed under: uncultured bacterium
Lineage: Bacteria
Description: bacterial SSU rRNA
Rfam family: Bacterial small subunit ribosomal RNA
Source: RNAcentral